CAACAACAACAACAACAAGAAGAAAAAGGAAACGAAAAAUACAAAACUAAUGACAGCACACACCUCGGUCAAGAGUAGCGUUAAUGUACCGGAGUGUCCAUCGUCCAUCGUCCGUAUCUCUCUCGACCCUGCAGAACAUCUGUGCUUCAAGAACUACUGAUGUAAACGUCUGCAUUAUGAACACUACAGACCAUGGUUUAAACUCUGUUGUGUUUAAGAGGUGGGGUUGGGGUGAUCAAAUAAUUGGCUAAACUAAUUAUUCUCUUUUAAUGUGAAGGGACUUGCUUUUAAGCUUAAUUGUAUGGAUUCAUCUUUUACAGAAAUGUAACUUGCUCGGCCAAUUCAGGCAGUUUCAUAUUAGUUGUGUAGAUUAAACCAUUAACUUAUCUGGCUGAUGAGCUCCAGAACACCUAAAUUGCACCUGUACAAGCUUCAGGACAUUUUCAAAACCAGAGCAGAGAAUUUUAGUUUGCAAUAAACUUCUGUCCAUGCACUUUUAUUGCUUUGGAACUCUUAUGUUCCAUAACGAAUUUGCGGACUUAAUUAUUACUGCUGUCUUGUCUUGAAAUAGUAUUGUUGAAUUAAUUCGGUCAUUGAUCAAGUUAAAAUUCUUUAAUAAAAAGGUCAGUUUUUGUCAUCGUUGCAUUUUAACUGUUCAAGGUUACAGUGCCUUGCAA
This is a non-coding RNA of Lepisosteus oculatus (spotted gar), 677 nucleotides long. The record is from RefSeq and is a predicted model, not a curated record. Lineage: Eukaryota; Metazoa; Chordata; Actinopteri; Semionotiformes; Lepisosteidae.